AGACAGCCAACCUGUCCUUUGAAGCUUUGAUGCCAGGCAUUGACUUCUCUCUAGCUAUGACAGUCCCAGAUGGCAUCUUCUUCUUCCAAUAGAUGGCUAUUUUGUAUACAAUGAAAACCUGUU
This 123-nucleotide microRNA precursor is filed under the name Dasypus novemcinctus (nine-banded armadillo). RNAcentral's name for it is "miRNA (ENSDNOG00000034109.1)". The record is from RNAcentral. Lineage: Eukaryota; Metazoa; Chordata; Mammalia; Cingulata; Dasypodidae.